CCCUCGAUAGCUCAACUGGCGAGAGCAACCGGCUUUUAACCGGAAGGCUGCGCGUUCAAAUCGCGCUCGAGGGACCA
Molecule: transfer RNA, 77 nt
Filed under: Pelomonas sp. Root1237
Lineage: Bacteria; Pseudomonadati; Pseudomonadota; Betaproteobacteria; Burkholderiales; Sphaerotilaceae
Description: tRNA-Lys
Rfam family: tRNA
About the family: Transfer RNA (tRNA) molecules are approximately 80 nucleotides in length. Their secondary structure includes four short double-helical elements and three loops (D, anti-codon, and T loops). Further hydrogen bonds mediate the characteristic L-shaped molecular structure. tRNAs have two regions of fundamental functional importance: the anti-codon, which is responsible for specific mRNA codon recognition, and the 3' end, to which the tRNAs corresponding amino acid is attached (by aminoacyl-tRNA synthetases). tRNAs cope with the degeneracy of the genetic code in two manners: having more than one tRNA (with a specific anti-codon) for a particular amino acid; and 'wobble' base-pairing, i.e. permitting non-standard base-pairing at the 3rd anti-codon position.
Source: RNAcentral